AUCUGCAACUGUGAGGAAGAUUUUGUCCUCGCCGAUUGUAGUUGCAAAAUGGGAGGCAUGUAGCUUGUCAAUCACCACAGGUCCAGGAUUUGCCAGAAUAAGCUGCGCCAACAGACAUUGGGUUACUUACUCCUGGUAAAGAGAUCUAUAUAAAGAAGACAUCAUAAGUCUUACUGCAAUCAAGAGGCCUAUCUCCACGGAAGAAAAAACUACACCAAAGAAGGCUCCCAUGCAAGCAAUGAAAUCAAAUUUGUCUAUUUUCCAUAUCAAAAUUGCUGCCUCAAAGUCAAUUAGGCCAAGCACAGCAGAUAUAAUAAUAGCGGCAAGAAUAGCGUUUGGGGUAUACUUGAAAAGUGGUGUAAUAAAUUGCAAGGUCAGAAAUACAAUGAAAGACAUAACAAUGUUGGAAACUGCGGUUUGGCAGCCAGCCAUGUAAUUUACAGCUGAUCGAGAAAAUGAACCUGCAAGACAACAGACAUAAAACAAAGUCAAUUUGAAGUAUUCCACACUGCUCAUAGAUAUCUCCACAUCUUAGGAGUAUCAAGUUUUCAGUGGUAAACUCAAACCAUAGAGAAAAUCAAAGCAACCCUUAGCAAAACAAUUGCCAGGAGCAAUUAAAUGCAUUUAUAUUCUGGUUUAUGCUUCAAACCAUCCAUAUCAUUUGUAUGAUUGGAAUUUAAAAUUUUUCAUGGGAUUUUCUUGGUAUUCAAUCAACUUUUUAUGGCUGCUUACUAUCA
Long non-coding RNA from Manihot esculenta (cassava), 737 nucleotides. RefSeq lists it as uncharacterized. The record is from RefSeq and is a predicted model, not a curated record. Lineage: Eukaryota; Viridiplantae; Streptophyta; Magnoliopsida; Malpighiales; Euphorbiaceae. The transcript has 2 exons.